RNAcentral lists this ribosomal RNA (496 nucleotides) under uncultured bacterium. RNAcentral's name for it is "partial 16S ribosomal RNA". It matches the Rfam family "Bacterial small subunit ribosomal RNA", at positions 30 to 523 of the family's 1533-position model. The record is from RNAcentral.
AUUGAACGCUGGCGGAAUGCUUUACACAUGCAAGUCGAACGGUAGAGGGGGCAACCCCUCGAGAGUGGCGAACGGGUGAGUAAUAUAUCGGAACGUGCCCAGUCGUGGGGGAUAACGUAGCGAAAGUUACGCUAAUACCGCAUACGAUCUAAGGAUGAAAGCGGGGGGUCGCAAGACCUCGCUCGAUUGGAGCGGCCGAUAUCAGAUUAGGUAGUUGGUGGGGUAAAGGCUCACCAAGCCAACGAUCUGUAGCUGGUCUGAGAAGACGACCAGCCACACUGGAACUGAGACACGGUCCAGACUCCUACGGGAGGCAGCAGUGGGGAAUUUUGGACAAUGGACGCAAGUCUGAUCCAGCCAUUCCGCGUGCAGGAUGACGGCCCUCGGGUUGUAAACUGCUUUUGUACGGAACGAAAAGGUCUCUCUUAAUACGGGGGGCUCAUGACGGUACCGUAAGAAUAAGCACCGGCUAACUACGUGCCAGCAGCCGCAGUAA